GGAGGAGGGAGGGUGUCCUUCAGCCUGGAUUGUGAGAGGGCACAGGCCAGGCCAAGGGACACCACCAGUGCAUG
Myotis brandtii (Brandt's bat) is the source of this 74-nucleotide non-coding RNA. The record is from Rfam. NCBI's taxonomy places the organism in Eukaryota, Metazoa, Chordata, Mammalia, Chiroptera, Vespertilionidae.